UGAACGGUUAAGUGAUAACUGAGAUUUCGUUCUUGUUUUGGAAGAAGGAUUUUUCGACAGAAUGCCAAGGAAGAACCAGGUGUUUGAAAAAUGUGGCUGCGUUAAGUUAAAUGAGCCUUUUUCGGAUGCCAGAUGGGAACAUAAAGCUGUUUGAAACCCCAACGGUCUUUUCUUGUUGAUUUUCACAUGACUGAAAAAUGAUUUGACCGCAGCACGGAGGAGCUGCUGAAGUGUUCUUGCAGCCAGCUCCGUCGCUGCUAUUUAGGAAAAGAAGAGAUGUGAGAGCAGAAACUCAUAACCCUUGAAAACAGGAGGCUUGCCGUGGCAGCCUCGGAGGAGGCCUCUGAUUAUGGCGUUGCUGAGGGACAUGUUAAUUACCGGGCGCUCGGACACGUCCCUUCAGCCGAGUCCAGUCGGUCCGUUGCCUCGUGUACGAGGAAAUGGAGUUCCGUGGCGAGAGAAGCAGAAGCUACCUACCAGGUUGGAAAAGACCCACAGAAAACAUGGAAACACAUCGACGAAAACUGUUUGCUUUCUGUGUUCCAAAAAGUGGAUGAUCAAUGCCUGCUCCCCAGAUACCGUUACAUCCGCCUCCAGGGCACGUUAACGUUUUCUCAAAUGAGUUUACGCCAAAUUCUUAUGGAUAUUGACUGUGGCUCCCUAGUAAAGCACAGCUGCAGACCUGGAAACUCGUCCUCUGAACAUUUGGAAGCAACUGUGCCGGCUCCUUCCUUUGCUGCAGACACAUAUGGCCGCUGAAAAAUACUGCGCCUUUAUAUUUAACCCUUCGGGCCCUGAAAGGAGCUGUUUUGUGGAGCUGAGCUGGAAUUUAUUUGGUGCACAGUGAAUGCACCUCCUAAAAGUCACCCUUAGCUCCCGCCGUGUCCCCGUGUGCCGUGUGGCGGCACUACCUUGAAUAGUGGCUUACUAUUCCUUUUUCCUCUCUUUUCAACUGGAAAUAAAUAGAUUUUCAGAUGGUACUUAGUGUCUCAGGCUUCCCCUUUGGUGUAAGUGCCAACACUGAAAGGAAAGGGGUUUUUUCUCCCCAAGAAAAUGAAAAAGUUCUGUGUUGGAUUUGAAACUGAAGUCUCAGUGCUGGGAGCCAGCCCUGGGCAAACAGGCGGCUGGAGAGUAAGUCACCUCCCUCCUCUUCUCCUCACAGAGCUGUAUGCCCAUUACCUGAGGGGACGGAAUCCAAGCAUGGGUCAACAAUAAGGCAACAGAAAAAAAAUGCAGUCAACAACAGUAAGAAAAAAUAUGAUAGAGGAAUUGGCUCACUUGAUUGUGGAGGCUUGGCAAGUCCGAAAUCUGAUGGGGAAGGCUGGCAGGCUGGAGACUCAGGGGAGAGUUGCAGUUCAAAGUCCAAAGUCUGCUGGCAGAAUUCCAGUCUUGGUUCUAUUAAGGCCUUCAACUGAUUGGAUGAGGCCCACCCACAUUAUGGAGAGCAAUCUGCUUUAUUCAAAGUCUGCUGAUUUAAAUGUUAAUCUCAUCCAAAAAACACCUUCACAGAAACAUCCAGUAUAAGUUUGAUCAAAUAUCUGGACACCAUGGCCCAGCCAAGUUGACACAAAAAUUUAAUCCUCACAGGUACUAUGGACGUAGGUCUAUAAUUAAUUAUGAAUUCAACAAAUUCAAUGUGUAUUUAAUGAAUGCCUACUGUGUGUCCAGAACUAUGUUUAUCCAUUGGAAUAUAAUAGUUAAUACACAAUUAACCCUGCCCUCAAAGAACUGACAAUCUAGUAAGCCGUAAUUAAGCAGGUAACAACCCCGUGUGCCAAAUGCUGGCGAGCUCCCAGCGGUGGAGUGUGCAUCUGCUCUGAGCAGAGUGUGUUGCAUGCAUUAUCUCAUUCAGUCUCCACACAAACCUUUAGGCAGGCACUGUUGUCCCUGUUGCUUGGAUGAGGAAGAUGAGGUUUGGAGAGAUAGAGGAGCUGUAUGGAGGUCACAUAGCUACAAGUGCAGAGCGCAGAUUGAACUCAUCUCUGCCUGAUGCCCAAGUCCAGGCUGCCGGUGGCUUCCCUGUCUCACUUAUGCCCUCCUGCCAGGCUUCUCACAGACGGGCGCGCGGAGGAGGAGCAGGACCGUGCAAACCAAGGUCAGCCUGGGAGGCAGACAUCCGGAGAAACCCGGGGAGCUCGGCUGUUCUCGGAGACACACGUGCUCUCUCGCCCCUGCUGGCUGGCUUGCGUUGCCACUUCCUGAGCCUCUGGGAUGUGGGCGGCAAACAGGCCACCAGCGCUACCCUGGAGUCUGCAAGUCCAUCCUGGGUAACAACUCUCUCAGUAUCCUCAUCUUUUAAAGGGACACAUGAGCAUGUGUCUGUGUGUAGGUAGAGAGAGGGAAGAUUUGAACCCUUUCCAGGAAAGCCCCCUCUCAUCUAUUCUGCUCAGGGACGUGCUCUGGGUGAGUGUGUGUACAGACAUACAUAUGUAAUAUUUUCAGACUUUAUCUACUCCCAAACUGCUCGCAGCAGGGGUGCAGAUGGGACUAUAUGCUAACGGGUGUGGGGGAAGCAUGCCCCCCACGUAAGGAUUGCUCCUAUGCAUGCUUAGAGCAAGCCAUCCGCCCAGGGGCUUCUCUCCCCAGCAGUGAAUUCUGGGCUGCCUGUGGCUAUGCACAGGUUAGCCAUCAGCCUGGUGAAUGCUGGCCAAAGCCUGGCCUGGCCCACAGAUGAAGAACCUGUGGAGGCGAGGGAGAAGGGGGCGCUUUAUGUAAGCGGUUUUUAGACAGAUGGAGGAUUCAUUUUAAUUGCAUAAGAAGCAAUCCUUCUUGAGUAGAGAUGUAGGUCCUUUUGCAAACCUGUGCUAGACAAAUCUUUGCUGCCACUGCUUCUCUAUUUCCACGAUAAUUGCUCAUCGGUGUUGAGUUGCAUCUGGGCCAUUUGCUGCUUAUAGAGGGUCAGCAAUUCUCAGCAUGUCCCCCUCCCCCAGUGCAAGUUCACCCCAGGCCUUGUGAUGCCACCCGAAGAGUCUAGAGCCAGUUUUGAGCAUGGACAAUGGAUGUUCGCAGCGUGGGGCAGUGAGGGGACAGAACAAAGCAAGUUCAGACCAGCGGUUUUCAAGUCAUGCCCCCGUGGGUGGUCCAGCUUCGGGGAACCCAUCAAGCUCUGUAUCUUCGCCCUGUUAAUGUCCACCACGGAAAGGACCUCCAAGUUCUCCCAGAAUAAGCACCCUUGAGACUUAGAGGCACCUGGGUUCCAGCGUCUCCAUCUUUAGAAGUCAUCUUGGGAAACACCUUUAGUGGCCCUUAGCUCAGGGACCUGGAGAGAGGAGAGACUGGCUUCCUGGAUAUGCUUCUGGCUGAAGAAUCCUGAUUAUGACAAGAAAAAAGCAGCUUCGGUCUUCUGCUUCCUAUGCAGCUAUAAUCAAGGCGAAUUUACUUGAUAAAUACGCUGACUGUUUAUUUUAUCAGCGACAAGCGAGUAAAAUCUGAUCUUCUCCAGCAGGAAGCAGCUUAUGCGAGCUCACUGCUUUGUAGGAGGAGAUUUUCCCAAGCAAGAACAAAGAGGUUUGAGGUACCAUAUAGGGAGAUCCUUUGCCCAAGCUAGUUACUUUCUGGAUGGAAGAAAGUUCACCAGAGGGCCGGGUUUUGUAGGCACUGUGCCAGUUUUGCUAAUCUCUGCAUAGCCAGUGCUCUUCAUUGAGAGGCACACAAUAAAUGUUUGUUAGAUGGAAGAAUGACAGCAUGGAGGCAGCCUCAACCAAAAGAAUCUUUAUUAACCGUAAACAGUACAGUGUGUGAAACCAAGUUCUUGUGCAGGUUGCUGGGGACAACUAUCUCAGGGAACAAGGAGGGGCACAGAGCUUCUCAGACUUUGUGACUGGCCUUAUACUGCGACUCACAGAGAUCUGAAGAAGUAGAGAUGUCCUCCUUUGGCCUGUCCAUCUGCAUCAGUGUAUUUCUGCCUUGGAACUUUUGCCUUCCCCCAUAAGUAGCGCUUUGUUUUUCAUCUCUAUGCCUUUACGUGUGUUGUCACCUCUGCCUGGAAUGUCUCCCUCCCCACCUGUUGGCCUCUCACCUGACCUCCAUCACAGGUCUCCUGCUUCUGUACAGGCAGUCUGGGGUGGAGGGGGGCCCUUGGGCUCAGGAACCAGCCUACUUGGAUUUCCAUGCUGUGGUUGCCACUUAUUACUUGUGGCCUUGGCAAGUAGCCCAAGUCACCUAAUAAUUUUGAACCUCCAUUUUUCAUCUGGCAAACAGGAAUUAUAAUAAUAGUACCCGAAUCAGAGGAUUGUUAUCAGACUGAAUCAGUGAAUACAUGUAAAGUACAGAGAACAGAGCCUGGAACACAGCAGUUGACACCUGUCAGCCACCAUCUCUCUUGGAUUCCCUUCUCUUCUGUUCCCCUGUCAGAGCUGUUUUCUCCUGUCUACCCCUACUACUGUGUUCUCACUUCUUUCCAGCUCAGCCCCUUGGCUGGCCUACUUCCUUACAUCAGCUCUCCGGGGCUCCCCAACACCCCCCCAAUUACAUGCCAGGCUCCUUAGCAAAAUUCAAGGCUUUCCAUUUUCCAGACCAACGACUUUUGACAACAUAUUUUCCCCACUAUUUCGUGGUCCACAUCUGAUGGUCCUGCCCAAAUGUGCUCUAUCUUUGUUUCUAAGCAAGCUCUGUGCUCUCUCACCUCCUUGCUCUCGCUGGCCCUGUCCUUCCCUCACCUCUGCCUGCCAGGACGUGGG
Molecule: long non-coding RNA, 4679 nt
Filed under: Equus caballus (horse)
Lineage: Eukaryota; Metazoa; Chordata; Mammalia; Perissodactyla; Equidae
Description: lncRNA (ENSECAG00000055068.1)
Source: RNAcentral